UGAAUGGCAUCACGAGGGCUUAACUGUCUCCCCUCCCCAGUCAAUGAAAUUGAUCUCCCCGUGCAGAAGCGGGGAUAAUACCAUAAGACGAGAAGACCCUAUGGAGCUUUAGACGUCAGAGCAGCCCAUGUAAAGCACCCCUUAACAAAGGAAAAAACCAAAUGAAGCCUGCCCUAAUGUCUUUGGUUGGGGCGACCGCGGGGAAAUACAAAACCCCCAUGUGGAGUAGGAAUACACAUUCCUAAACCCAAGAGCUCCCGCUCUAAUGAACAGAAAUUCUGACCAAUAAGAUCCGGCACACGCCGAUCAACGGACCGAGUUACCCUAGGGAUAACAGCGCAAUCCCCUUAAAGAGCCCUUAUCGACAAGGGGGUUUACGACCUCGAUGUUGGAUCAGGACAUCCUAAUGGUGCAGCCGCUAUUAAGGGUUCGUUUGUUCAACGAU
This 445-nucleotide ribosomal RNA is filed under the name Pagrus major (red seabream). RNAcentral describes it as "partial 16S ribosomal RNA". It matches the Rfam family "Bacterial large subunit ribosomal RNA", at positions 1993 to 2588 of the family's 2925-position model. The record is from RNAcentral. Lineage: Eukaryota; Metazoa; Chordata; Actinopteri; Spariformes; Sparidae.